This 20-nucleotide unclassified non-coding RNA is filed under the name Chlamydomonas reinhardtii. RNAcentral describes it as "small RNA Cre_1166". The record is from RNAcentral. Lineage: Eukaryota; Viridiplantae; Chlorophyta; Chlorophyceae; Chlamydomonadales; Chlamydomonadaceae.
CCUGGGCCUCACGGCGGCGG